UACGGGAGGCAGCAGUGGGGAAUAUUGCACAAUGGGCGAAAGCCUGAUGCAGCAACGCCGCGUGAGCGAUGAAGGCCUUUGGGUCGUAAAGCUCUGUCCUUGGGGAAGAAAAAAAUGACGGUACCCUUGGAGGAAGCCCCGGCUAACUACGUGCCAGCAGCCGCGGUAAUACGUAGGGGGCAAGCGUUAUCCGGAAUUAUUGGGCGUAAAGAGUGCGUAGGUGGUUUUGUAAGCGCGGGGUGAAAGGCUAUGGCUCAACCAUAGUAAGCCUUGCGAACUGUAAGACUUGAGUGCAGGAGAGGAAAGCGGAAUUCCUAGUGUAGCGGUGAAAUGCGUAGAUAUUAGGAGGAACACCAGUGGCGAAGGCGGCUUUCUGGACUGUAACUGACACUGAGGCACGAAAGCGUGGGGAGCAAACAGGAUUAGAUACCCUGGUAGUCCACGCCGUAAACGAUGAGCACUAGGUGUCGGGGCCGCAAGGUUUCGGUGCCGCAGUUAACGCAUUAAGUGCUCCGCCUGGGGAGUACGCACGCAAGUGUGAAACUCAAAGGAAUUGACGG
This 560-nucleotide ribosomal RNA is filed under the name uncultured bacterium. RNAcentral describes it as "bacterial SSU rRNA". It matches the Rfam family "Bacterial small subunit ribosomal RNA", at positions 340 to 916 of the family's 1533-position model. The record is from RNAcentral.